Molecule: ribosomal RNA, 492 nt
Filed under: uncultured bacterium
Lineage: Bacteria
Description: partial 16S ribosomal RNA
Rfam family: Bacterial small subunit ribosomal RNA
Source: RNAcentral
AGUGAACGCUGGCGGUAGGCCUAACACAUGCAAGUCGAACGGCAGCACAGUAAGAGCUUGCUCUUACGGGUGGCGAGUGGCGGACGGGUGAGGAAUACAUCGGAAUCUACUUUUUCGUGGGGGAUAACGUAGGGAAACUUACGCUAAUACCGCAUACGACCUACGGGUGAAAGCAGGGGAUCUUCGGACCUUGCGCGAUUGAAUGAGCCGAUGUCGGAUUAGCUAGUUGGCGGGGUAAAGGCCCACCAAGGCGUCGAUCCGUAGCUGGUCUGAGAGGAUGAUCAGCCACACAGGAACUGAGACACGGUCCAGACUCCUACGGGAGGCAGCAGUGGGGAAUAUUGGACAAUGGGCGCAAGCCUGAUCCAGCCAUACCGCGUGGGUGAAGAAGGCCUUCGGGUUGUAAAGCCCUUUUGUUGGGAAAGAAAAGCAGCAGGUUAAUACCCCGCUGUUCUGACGGUACCCAAAGAAUAAGCACCGGCUAACUUCGUG